AUACGAGGGGUGCAAGCGUUGUUCGGAAUUACUGGGCGUAAAGGGAGCGUAGGCGGAGAUUCAAGCGGAUUGUACAAUCCCGGGGCCCAACCCCGGCUCUGCAGUCCGAACUGGAUCUCUUGGAUAGUUCAGGGGCAGGCGGAAUUCCUGGUGUAGCGGUGGAAUGCGUAGAGAUCAGGAAGAACACCGAUGGCGAAGGCAGCCUGCUGGGGACUUAUCGACGCUGAGGCUCGAAAGUGCGGGUAGCAAACAGGAUUAGAUACCCUGGUAGUCCGCACCGUAAACGAUGCAUACUGGGUGUCCGGGGGUUCCCCCGGGUACCGUAGCCAACGCGUUAAGUAUGCCGCCUGGGGAGUACGUACGCAAGUAUGAAACUCAAAGGAAUUGGCGGGG
This 393-nucleotide ribosomal RNA is filed under the name uncultured bacterium. RNAcentral's name for it is "partial 16S ribosomal RNA". It matches the Rfam family "Bacterial small subunit ribosomal RNA", at positions 523 to 918 of the family's 1533-position model. The record is from RNAcentral.